This is an RNA transcript of Aphis gossypii (cotton aphid), 1445 nucleotides long. It is a transcript of the gene named high mobility group protein 20A-like, with no coding region annotated. Lineage: Eukaryota; Metazoa; Arthropoda; Insecta; Hemiptera; Aphididae. The transcript is spliced from 8 exons. The record is from RefSeq and is a predicted model, not a curated record.
UGGAUAGUCGUGGACUCGACUUCUCUUGAAUAUUGAAUAUUUUGUUCGUAUAGUGUAUCCACAUGACCGACCGGAUUUCUGGUAUUUUCACUCAGUACUUCCAUCCGGUACCGGCGGUACCAUUAUCUCAUUAUUUGAGAGUGCGCUUUUUAAACGAUACGAAAAUCAAUAGUUUUGGGUUUUUAUAAUUGUUAUCGUUUACUGUCGUCGGUUGUUUAAAUUUUUGUCGGAGCACUCGGAGCGGUCAAUGACCAAUGUUGAAAGCCAUUUUAUUGUAGCUUAGAAAUUUUAAAUAAAAGAACGAGCUUGAUUAAUUACUAUGAUCCAAUCUGAAAACACUUCGACUAUGGACAAAUCAGGUCAAGAUGAUGAAUUCAUUGAAAAUGGUGUACCCAAAAAAGUUGAUAAAAAUCAUGUUAAAGGUAAAAAACGUAAGAAGUGUUUACGUGACAAAACAGCACCAAGACCUCCACAUUCUGGGUACAUACGAUUUUUAAAUGAUAGACGUGAACAAUUCCGAUCUGAAAAUCCCAAUUUACCAUUUGCUGAAAUUACCAAAGUAUUAGCUACUGAAUGGAACCAAUUGCCAGUAGAUAAAAAACAACAAUAUCUUUUAGCUGCUGAACAAGAACGAGUAAAGUAUGUUGAAGAAUUAGCAGCUUAUAAAAAAACUGAUGCAUACAAAAAUUUUAUUCAACGCAAAUUGAAAAAAAAACAAUUGAAAAUCCCAAACCAAGAAGAUCAAAAAUCAGCAAAAGAAAAACCAUCUAACCAUAAUAUUAAUAAAGGUUACGAUAUACCUAUAUAUACAGAAGAAUUCUUAAAUUUUAAUAAAGCUAGAGAAAGUGAACUAAGGUACCUCCGUAAAACGGUAACAGAUCAAGAACAAGAAGUAGCUGUCUUAGAUAAACAUAUUGGAAAUAUGAAUAAUGGUAUAAUCAAAUUAAUGGCUAAUACUGAAAAACUUAAAGUUGGAUGUUCAAAGUAUGAACAGUAUUUGAUUCAAUUACGAUCUCUACUUUUAGAUAAUUUUUCUAAUAUUUCAUUCCCAGUUUUCCUUGUCAAAUGUGCAAAAUUAAUAUAAAUUAAUUGGGAGUUGUCAAAGGAUCGGCUGUCUAAAGUUUCUAACUGCCCGUAGUAUAACGCUCCCACAGUGAAAAUAUAUCAAUAUGUACAUUGGUAUAAUGAUAAACAAAAAAAAAAAAAUGACUAUCUUAGUGAUAGCAUUUUUGUAUAUAUAAUCUUAAGAUAAUAUUGAGCCACCUACAGCUGAGUCUAUUGAUACAUUCAUGGUUAAUUUAGCCACAUUUCUAUCAACCGGUGCUACUACUGAUCCUACUUGGCUUGCAAGCGUAAAAAAAGCUAUUUCUAACCAGGAUUUUUCUCAAUGUUAAAAUAAAGUAUAUUUUAAAUUAUCAAAUUAUAAGUCAUAAAUUAUCUGAUUA